Molecule: ribosomal RNA, 464 nt
Filed under: Vreelandella stevensii
Lineage: Bacteria; Pseudomonadati; Pseudomonadota; Gammaproteobacteria; Oceanospirillales; Halomonadaceae
Description: partial 16S ribosomal RNA
Rfam family: Bacterial small subunit ribosomal RNA
Source: RNAcentral
CCUACGGGGGGCAGCAGUGGGGAAUAUUGGACAAUGGGGGCAACCCUGAUCCAGCCAUGCCGCGUGUGUGAAGAAGGCCCUCGGGUUGUAAAGCACUUUCAGUGAGGAAGAACGCCUGGUGGUUAAUACCCAUCAGGAAAGACAUCACUCACAGAAGAAGCACCGGCUAACUCCGUGCCAGCAGCCGCGGUAAUACGGAGGGUGCGAGCGUUAAUCGGAAUUACUGGGCGUAAAGCGCGCGUAGGUGGCUUGAUAAGCCGGUUGUGAAAGCCCCGGGCUCAACCUGGGAACGGCAUCCGGAACUGUCAAGGUAGAGUGCAGGAGAGGAAGGUAGAAUUCCCGGUGUAGCGGUGAAAUGCGUAGAGAUCGGGAGGAAUACCAGUGGCGAAGGCGGCCUCUGGACUGACACUGACACUGAGGUGCGAAAGCGUGGGUAGCAAACAGGAUUAGAUACCCCUGUAGUC